Non-coding RNA from Phrynosoma platyrhinos (Desert horned lizard), 75 nucleotides. The record is from the annotation of a GenBank genome assembly. NCBI's taxonomy places the organism in Eukaryota, Metazoa, Chordata, Lepidosauria, Squamata, Phrynosomatidae.
GGUAUAGUGUGGCACAGUGGUCUGAAUGCUGGACUAGGACCACAUAGUACCAGGGUUCAAAUCCCUGCUGUGCCA